This 494-nucleotide ribosomal RNA is filed under the name uncultured bacterium. RNAcentral describes it as "partial 16S ribosomal RNA". It matches the Rfam family "Bacterial small subunit ribosomal RNA", at positions 28 to 507 of the family's 1533-position model. The record is from RNAcentral.
GACGAACGCUGGCGGCGUGCUUAACACAUGCAAGUCGAACGGUGAAGCGCCUUCCUUUUUGGUGGGUGUGGAUGAGUGGCGAACGGGUGAGUAACACGUGAGUAACCUGCCCCCUUCUUCUGGAUAACCGCAUGAAAGUGUGGCUAAUACGGGAUAUUCUGGGUCUGUCGCAUGAUGGGUCUGGGAAAGAUAUUGUUUCGGUGGGGGAUGGGCUCGCGGCCUAUCAGCUUGUUGGUGGGGUGAUGGCCUACCAAGGCGGUGACGGGUAGCCGGCCUGAGAGGGUGGACGGUCACACGGGGACUGAGACACGGCCCAGACUCCUACGGGAGGCAGCAGUGGGGAAUAUUGCACAAUGGGCGCAAGCCUGAUGCAGCGACGCCGCGUGAGGGAUGGAGGCCUGCGGGUUGUGAACCUCUUUCGCCAGUGAAGCAGGCCUGCCUCGUUUGUGGGUGGGUUGACGGUAGCUGGAGAAGAAGCGCCGGCUAACUACGUG